Molecule: ribosomal RNA, 509 nt
Filed under: uncultured bacterium
Lineage: Bacteria
Description: bacterial SSU rRNA
Rfam family: Bacterial small subunit ribosomal RNA
Source: RNAcentral
AUUGAACGCUGGCGGCAUGCCUUACACAUGCAAGUCGAACGGCAGCACGGGAGCAAUCCUGGUGGCGAGUGGCGAACGGGUGAGUAAUAUAUCGGAACGUGCCCAGUAGUGGGGGAUAGCCCGGCGAAAGCCGGAUUAAUACCGCAUACGACCUGAGGGUGAAAGCGGGGGAUCGCAAGACCUCGCGCUAUUGGAGCGGCCGAUAUCAGAUUAGCUAGUUGGUGGGGUAAAGGCCUACCAAGGCUACGAUCUGUAGUUGGUCUGAGAGGACGACCAGCCACACUGGGACUGAGACACGGCCCAGACUCCUACGGGAGGCAGCAGUGGGGAAUUUUGGACAAUGGGCGCAAGCCUGAUCCAGCAAUGCCGCGUGCAGGAAGAAGGCCUCGGUGUAACUAGCUUUGUUCUGGAAGGAAAGUACGUUACUUCGGGUCGUAAGUUAACCCCGGAACGGGAACGUAGACGGUAACCGUUCGAAGAAGUAAAGACAACCGGCUAACGUACGUACG